Lynx canadensis (Canada lynx) is the source of this 2149-nucleotide RNA transcript. It is a transcript of the gene named flavin adenine dinucleotide synthetase 1, with no coding region annotated. The record is from RefSeq and is a predicted model, not a curated record. The transcript is spliced from 6 exons. NCBI's taxonomy places the organism in Eukaryota, Metazoa, Chordata, Mammalia, Carnivora, Felidae.
UUAAAGUGGGGGGGGGGGGGGCGAGAUGCUUAAAGGGACCGGUCCCCAAAGAGGAGAGAGAUUUAAAGGUGCAGGCUGCCGGGCUGUCGCCGGCCAGGGGGGGGCCGAGCUCGGCGCGCAGGAGACCUACGUAAAGUGGUAGGUGCUCGGGAGAGCAGGACGCUUUAAGGAGACCAGAGGCAAGCUUGUGAAGAGGCUGGGAUGGGGUGAGAACACGUCCGUUGAAGGCAGGGAUAAAGGAGUCGCUUGUCAAGGGCCCGGCGAGGUCUCCCUCUAAGGAAAAAAGAACAUGCACUCCUGCUCUCCCCCAAUGUCCUUUCUGGCUCCUCCAGGUUCCCUUGACCCCGGACCCCCCCGUUCCCAGGCUAUGGCCCCCAGUGCCCUGUAGACCUGGCGCGACUCCCGUGCUUUCGACCCCUAUUUGGGGCCCUGGGUGGCUACUGGAGGGCCUUGCAGAGGGGCAGAGAAGGCAGGACCAUGGCAUCUAGGGCCUCUGAACCUCCCUCAGGGCGCAGCGUGACGGCGGGCAUCAUCAUUGUUGGAGAUGAGAUCCUCAAGGGACACACUCAGGACACCAACACCUACUUUCUAUGCCGGACACUGCGCUCCCUGGGGGUCCAGGUGUGCCGGGUCUCUGUCGUACCCGACGAGGUGGCCACCAUCGCGGCAGAGGUCACUUCUUUCUCCAGCCGCUUCACCCACGUCCUCACGGCAGGGGGCAUCGGCCCCACUCACGAUGAUGUGACCUUUGAGGCGGUAGCACAGGCCUUCGGGGAUGAGCUCAAGCCGCACCCCGAGCUGGAAGCGGCCAUCCGAGCCCUCGGAGGGAAGGGCUGCGAGAAGCUGUCCGUAGUGCCCUCCUCCGCCCGCCUGCAUUACGGCACAGACCCUCACACGGGCCGGCCCUUCAAGUUCCCGCUGGUCUCCGUCCGAAAUGUCUACCUCUUCCCGGGCAUUCCCGAGCUGCUGCGGAGGGUGCUGGAGGGGCUGAAGGGGCUGUUCCGAAACACGGCGGUGCAGUUCCACCUGCGGGAGCUGUACGUGGCCGCCGACGAGGCCUCCAUCGCCCCCGUGCUGGCUGAGGCGCAGGCCCACUUUGGGCGCAGGCUCGGCCUGGGCUCCUACCCCGACUGGGGCAGCAACUACUAUCGGGUGAAGCUGUCGUUGGACUCGGAGGAAGAGGGGCCGCUGGAGGAGUGCCUGGCCUACCUGACUGCCCGUCUGCCCCCGGGAUCGCUGGUCCCCUACGUGCCCGACGCCGUGGGGCAGGCCAGGGAGGCUGUCUACCAGCUCGCAGAAUCAGGGUCUUCUCUGGGGGGGAAGGUGGCAGGCGCCCUGCAGACCAUUGAGACCGCCCUGGCUCAGUAUGACCUCAGCCACCUUUGCGUGGGCUUCAAUGGAGGCAAGGACUGCACGGCCCUCCUGCACCUCUUCCACGCGGCCGUGCAGAGGACACGCCCCGAUACUCAGGAGCCCCUCCAGAUCCUGUACAUCCGCAACAUCUCCCCCUUCCCCGAGCUGGAGCAGUUCCUACAGGACACCAUCAAGAGGUAUAAUCUGCAGGUGCUGGAGGCCGAGGGCCACAUGAAGCAGGCCCUGUGUGAGCUGCAGGCCCGGCACCCCCGGCUGGAGGCCGUCCUGAUGGGCACCCGCCGCACCGACCCCUACUCCUGCAGCCUCCACCCCUUCAGCCCCACGGACCCUGGCUGGCCUGCCUUCGUGCGCGUCAACCCGCUGCUGGUAACGGGGAGGGGGCCGCAGCGCCUCCCGUCUCCCGACCCCUGUCGCUCAUUGCGCCCUGGCCCCCCACGUGGGAGAGGUGGGAGCCCGGGGCUCGCGUGAGGGACCCCCAUCACCCAAGGGAGGCCGUGCUGCUCGGCCGUUCAGCUUUCUGACCAUUCUGUAGGGAGCACCGAUUCCGUGGCGGGCUUGUGCUUUCUACCUUUAGGUCUGCACUGCCCAGAAUGGCAGCCACCAGCCUCUUAUCGAUACUCAAAUUACAACCUACUGAAAUGAAAGAAAGAAUGACCCCAAACCACUGAGUGGUGCGCUCCGAGUGUGACGAAUUCUGUGGUGACUGGACCUACAGAGACAUCUGGGACUUCCUGCGGCAGCUGUUUGUCCCGUACUGUGUCCUAUAUGACCGAGG